RNAcentral lists this ribosomal RNA (390 nucleotides) under uncultured bacterium. Its description in RNAcentral is "bacterial SSU rRNA". It matches the Rfam family "Bacterial small subunit ribosomal RNA", at positions 1000 to 1391 of the family's 1533-position model. The record is from RNAcentral.
UAUGUAUGUAGCCUCUCUUCGGAGCAUCGGUGACAGGUGGUGCAUGGUUGUCGUCAGCUCGUGUCGUGAGAUGUUGGGUUAAGUCCCGCAACGAGCGCAACCCUUAUCCUUAGUAGCCAGCGGAUAGAGCCGGGCACUCUAGGGAGACUGCCAGGGAUAACCUGGAGGAAGGCGGGGAUGACGUCAAAUCAUCAUGCCCCUUAUGACUUGGGCUACACACGUGCUACAAUGGCGUAAACAAAGGGAAGCGAACCUGUGAGGGAGAGCAAAUCUCAAAAAUAACGUCCCAGUUCGGAUUGCAGUCUGCAACUCGACUGCAUGAAGCUGGAAUCGCUAGUAAUCGCGAAUCAAAAUGUCGCGGUGAAUACGUUCCCGGGUCUUGUACACACC